This 2317-nucleotide long non-coding RNA is filed under the name Homo sapiens (human). RNAcentral describes it as "PREDICTED lncRNA (TCONS_00257628)". Lineage: Eukaryota; Metazoa; Chordata; Mammalia; Primates; Hominidae. The record is from RNAcentral.
AGACAUUAAUCUUAAGUAUCCAGGGAGCCCUAAAACAUUGUAUCCCACUAGCAAGGACCAUGGUAAUUGCCACGUAAAUCCCCUCCAUUAUGUGGCCCUUAUUAUGACCAGCCAGCCAAGGCUUGCCUUUAAAUCAUACCAAUUGAACCGAGCCUUGUAGAAACACUAUCACCUACGCAUACCUCUGCUUCUUUUCAUUAACCUGCUAUCCUCUUUACAAAUGGGAUUCUUCACCCACUCCCUUCUUCUAGAUUAGCAAUGCCCUGUUAAGUAAACGAACACGAAAUUCAAAGGGAAACAGGAGCAAUCAUCAUUACCAGCUGCCGUGUUAAGCAUUGCGAAAACGCUCACGAUUCACAGAAAAAUCCAUGCUGUUCUUUGAAGGCAUUCAAGCCUUAAUAGCUAGCUGGAUGAAUGUUUAACUUCUAGGCCAGGCACUACUCUGUCCCAACAAUAAGCCCUGUACAUUGGGAAAGGUGCCGAGACAUGAACUUUGGUCUUCUCUGCAAUCCAUCUGGAGCAUUCACUGACAACAUCGACUUUGAAGUUGCACUGACCUGGCCAGCCCUGCCACUUACCAGGUUGGCAUCUGGCAUCUUUCUUGACAUAUGUAGCAGUUGCUUUUUGACAGCUUGCUUCUUCAGUGAAUGAAUAAAUUAAUAAAGAGAAAUGUGAUGUUCAGUGAUCCAUUUUGCAGGCUCUUGAGUUUCUGCUUUCAAGUGACCCUCAGAAAUUCCUCCAUUCACUGCAGAGGUUCUGUUUCUCCUUGCUUUGUUCUGACUUUACGGCAGAACUAAGCUAAUGAGUUAGUUACUAUGGGUUAUCACUUGGAUUUGAAGAACCAUCAUUUCUAGGCAUUGCUGCUCAGAGUGGGUCUGCCCUCAGGGGAAGCUGUCUAACCAGAGCCUAACCCACUAGGGUUUUAUCAGAACCUAACUGACCUGAGGAAAAGAAAUACUCAACUCCAGCAAGCUCCAGCCUUCCAAAUGGAGGAGGAGAAAACCCAACUCCAGCCCACUUCAGCUAUCUUGUCCCACAUAAAGGGGAAGUGGAAGAAACCUGAGAAGCAGGCAUGAAGUUCACAGUCCAGAGACCUUGCCAUCGUAUCCCCUUUUGGAGACACAAGCCAGGAAGGAAGCUCUUCAGUGCAGCUGUGAAUAGAGAAAUGCUGGCUGAGGUUUUGGAGACACUGGGUGAUCAUUCCCAGUGAAAUUUUUAGAUCCCUGGGGACAUGAGCUGCUUUGUCUUUUCCAAGGCUGAAAAAGUUUUGGAAGCCCUCCUAAGCAGGUGCCAGACCCUUUUUUGGCCAGAGACAGGAUCUUACGCUGUUGCCCAGGCUGGAGUGCAAUAGUGUCAUCAUGGCUCACUGUAGCCUGGAACUGCUGGGCUCAAGGGAUCCUCCCAGCUCAGCCUCCCAAGUAGCUAGGAGUAAAGUCUGGAGAACACUUUUUCUUUUGAGCUGUUUACAACCUUUAGCAAUUGAGUAGAGUGUACUCUUGUCAAUAGAAUUUGAAGCACAUUUCUCUCUCUGCCUGAUUUCUGUAGAAUUUGUAAACUAUUUGUGAAUAUUCUUAAUUUAUGGCAAUAUGGUUGCUUACAUAAGUUCAAUAAUAAUCUGUUUUCUUUUACAAUGAGACACAGUUGGAGGAACUGGUUAUUUUCCCAGGGCUUUGACUGAAAUGGCCUUGUGAAUGGUUCCAGGAAAGCCAAUUUUGGAGACCCUAUGUGGAUGAUGAUGCUUGCUGUACUUUCUGUGGGUAAUCGGGCCAAGUAUAUGGGACUGAAGCUAAUUUUGCAGGUGAGAAAAUGGAGGUCCAGAGAGAAAAGUGACUCACCCAAGCUGAAAACAGUUGCAGGAAGAAAAGCCAGGACAGAACUGGGCUGUUAGAAACCUUGGAGUACACUAAAGAUGAGGAACUGAGUCACCGCAAUGCCAAAUGUAACACGCUGUGGGUCAAAAUUUGGAUGGUUGCGUUGGAAAUUAUUCUGAAGCCACAGACAGGGCUAAAAGAGUCUAGAAUGUCCUACUAGCUGUUGGAACCUGCUGGAGUUCUAAAGGCAUGCGAUGUCCUGAAUGUGCUUGACCAAUGGACACAGCAGGUAUUUGAAGAGUUUUGAUGCUUCCUUUCUGUUUUCAGUGCUAUUUUUUUGCUUUAUUUCUUUUAAAAAACUUUCCCCACAGAGGCUAUUUAUUACACAGCAGCAGCCAGCAUGCACCAAGCAGAACUGCUUUUCAUAAUAAACCUAUUUAUCUUCUGGCAUGUCAGAAAUUUCUCAAAUUGAUACUUAUAAUAAAUAUGAUUAAUAACACAUUGUA